Talpa occidentalis (Iberian mole) is the source of this 363-nucleotide non-coding RNA. The record is from the annotation of a RefSeq genome assembly. NCBI's taxonomy places the organism in Eukaryota, Metazoa, Chordata, Mammalia, Eulipotyphla, Talpidae.
AUGGAAGCCCCAGCACAGCUUCUCUGCCUCCUGCUGCUCUGGUUCCCAGGUACCACUGGAGAAAUUGUGAUGACACAGACUCCAGCCUCACUAUCAUUGUCUCCAGGAGAAACAGCCAGGAUCACCUGCAAGGCCAGUCAGAGCGUUAGCAACUACUUAGCCUGGUACCAGCAGAAACCUGUACAGACUCCCAGGCUCCUCAUCUAUGGUGCAACUAACAGGCUCAAUGACAUCCCAGCCCGAUUCAGUGGCAGCGGGUAUGGGACAGACUUUACUCUCACCAUCAGCAGCCUGGAGCCUGAAGAUGCUGCCACUUACUACUGUCAGCAGGGUUCUAGUGGGUUCCACAGUGAUUUGAUGUGA